Molecule: ribosomal RNA, 446 nt
Filed under: uncultured bacterium
Lineage: Bacteria
Description: partial 16S ribosomal RNA
Rfam family: Bacterial small subunit ribosomal RNA
Source: RNAcentral
CCUACGGGUGGCAGCAGUCGAGAAUCAUUCACAAUGGGGGAAACCCUGAUGGUGCGACGCCGCGUGGGGGAAUGAAGGUCUUCGGAUUGUAAACCCCUGUCAUGUGGGAGCAAAUUAAAAAGAUAGUACCACAAGAGGAAGAGACGGCUAACUCUGUGCCAGCAGCCGCGGUAAUACAGAGGUCUCAAGCGUUGUUCGGAAUCACUGGGCGUAAAGCGUGCGUAGGCUGUUUCGUAAGUCGUGUGUGAAAGGCGCGGGCUCAACCCGCGGACGGCACAUGAUACUGCGAGACUAGAGUAAUGGAGGGGGAACCGGAAUUCUCGGUGUAGCAGUGAAAUGCGUAGAGAUCGAGAGGAACACUCGUGGCGAAGGCGGGUUACUGGACAUUAACUGACGCUGAGGCACGAAGGCCAGGGGAGCGAAAGGGAUUAGAUACCCCAGUAGUC